Molecule: ribosomal RNA, 500 nt
Filed under: uncultured bacterium
Lineage: Bacteria
Description: bacterial SSU rRNA
Rfam family: Bacterial small subunit ribosomal RNA
Source: RNAcentral
AUCCUGGCUCAGGAUGAACGCUAGCGGCAGGCUUAACACAUGCAAGUCGAGGGGCAGCAUAAUGGAUAGCAAUAUCUAUGGUGGCGACCGGCGCACGGGUGCGUAACGCGUAUGCAACCUACCUUUAACAGGGGGAUAACACUGAGAAAUUGGUACUAAUACCCCAUAAUAUCAUAGAAGGCAUCUUUUAUGGUUGAAAAUUCCGAUGGUUAGAGAUGGGCAUGCGUUGUAUUAGCUAGUUGGUGAGGUAACGGCUCACCAAGGCGACGAUACAUAGGGGGACUGAGAGGUUAACCCCCCACACUGGAACUGAGACACGGUCCAAACUCCUACGGGAGGCAGCAGUGAGGAAUAUUGGUCAAUGGGCGAGAGCCUGAACCAGCCAAGUAGCGUGAAGGAUGACUGCCCUAUGGGUUGUAAACUUCUUUUAUAAAGGAAUAAAGUCGGGUAUGCAUACCCGUUUGCAUGUACUUUAUGAAUAAGGAUCGGCUAACUCCGUG